ACCCGCUGAACUUAAGCAUAUCAAUAAGCGGAGGAAAAGAAACUAACAAGGAUUCCCCUAGUAACUGCGAGUGAAGAGGGAAAAGCUCAAAUUUAAAAUCUGGCAGUCUUUGAUUGUCCGAGUUGUAAUUUAGAGAAGUGUUACCCGUGUUGGACCGUGUACAAGUUUCCUGGAAUGGAACGUCAUAGAGGGUGAGAAUCCCGUCUUUGACACGGAUCCCAAUGCAUUGUGGUAUACUUUCGAAGAGUCGAGUUGUUUGGGAAUGCAGCUCUAAAUGGGUGGUAAAUUCCAUCUAAAGCUAAAUAUUGGGGAGAGACCGAUAGCGAACAAGUACCGUGAGGGAAAGAUGAAAAGAACUUUGGAAAGAGAGUUAAACAGUACGUGAAAUUGCUAAAAGGGAAACGCUUGAAGUCAGUCGCGUUGUCCAGGGAUCAGCCUUCCUUCUGGUUGGUGUACUUCCUGGUUGACGGGUCAGCAUCAGUUUUGACCGGUGGAUAAGAGUGAGAGGAAUGUGGCAUCUUCGGGUGUGUUAUAGCCUUUUAUUGUAUACAUCGGUUGGGACUGAGGAACUCAGCACGCCGCAAGGCCGGGUUUUUAACCACGUUCGUGCUUAGGAUGCUGGCAUAAUGGCUUUAAUCGACCCGUCUUGAAACACGG
RNAcentral lists this ribosomal RNA (657 nucleotides) under uncultured fungus. Its description in RNAcentral is "eukaryotic LSU rRNA". It matches the Rfam family "Eukaryotic large subunit ribosomal RNA", at positions 23 to 664 of the family's 3401-position model. Lineage: Eukaryota; Fungi. The record is from RNAcentral.